ACAGAUGCUUGUAGGGAGAUGUUCUGUUAACGUUUAGAAAAGUCCUUGGAAUUACAGAUGUAUUAAUUAAUACAUCUGUAUUGAUUAAUUAAUUAAUUAAUAAUUUUUAAUUAAUUAAUUAAUAUAUUCUUCAGAAAAGUAAGCCAUGUUUGCUGGUGUUCCAGGGAAGUUAGACAGUGUCUGGAAGAUCAACAGCCAUGUGUAUACUUUAUAUACAUCAACAAGAGACUGAACUUCAGGUUUUUUAAGGAAUUGUUGGAUGAGAUCUAUAUAUAGGACAAGGGAGAAUUGUUUUAAAUUAUGACACUGGAAGUUUAGGUAAGAUACAGGGAGGAGGUUUUUCACACAGAGGGUGGUGAAGCACUGGAACAGGCUGCCCAAAGAUGCUGAGGAAGCCCCUUCCCUGGAUGCAUUCAAGGCCAGGCUGGAUGUGGCUCUGGGCAGUCUGGUCUGGUGGCUGGAGACCCUGCACAUAGCAGGGAGGUAGAAACUGGGUGAUCAUUGUAGUUGUUUUCAAACCAGGAAAUUCUAUGAUUCUAUGAUCUCCUAGGAAGAAGUCCUUAGAGAUAAAGGAGUGGAACACAGGUGGCUACUCUUUAAGUACGUCUUUCUGAGAGCUUAAGAGCUCUUCAGAACAUGAAAGCAGGAAGAAAAGGCAGGAAACAGUCUUGUAGUCCCAGAGUUCAUGUUGCUGGCAUCUCUGUAUCACAGGACAGAAUGAAACCAACUCUAGCUGGAACUGCAGAACUCUACACAAUCACCUUCCCUUGGCACUCCUGAUUGCCCCACAAGCACCACUUAAAAAAUGUUUUCUACUAUCAAAUACAUGUCUUAUGUAUUACUUUUUUUAUUUUUAUUAUUUUUAUUUUUAAUGUGAUGUUUUCAAAAGUGAGUUCAUCAAACAUUUUAAAACCUGAACUUGUUGAACCAACCUUAGACUUGAUUUAGACAAAGAAGAAAACUCAUUUCUGCACUGGAAAAAUACUAUGAAUUUACUUAGAAGGGUAAAACUAUGGAUUAAAGAAACUGAUGUUGAACUAGAAUAAUGAAGGGAGAUACAGAAAAAUGAAUACUGGAAGACUGUCAGAAUAGAAGUGGUAGGGGGGUUGGCAUCUGAAGUUAACUCCUCAACAGGAUGGUUGUAAAAUAAAAACUAACUGCAG
RNAcentral lists this long non-coding RNA (1163 nucleotides) under Coturnix japonica (Japanese quail). RNAcentral's name for it is "lncRNA (ENSCJPG00005000201.1)". The record is from RNAcentral. Lineage: Eukaryota; Metazoa; Chordata; Aves; Galliformes; Phasianidae.